This 274-nucleotide unclassified non-coding RNA is filed under the name Mycobacterium kansasii. RNAcentral's name for it is "16S-23S ribosomal RNA intergenic spacer". Lineage: Bacteria; Bacillati; Actinomycetota; Actinomycetes; Mycobacteriales; Mycobacteriaceae. The record is from RNAcentral.
AAGGAGCACCACGAAAAGCAUCCCAACAAGUGGGGUGCAAGCCGUGAGGGGUUCUCGUCUGUAGUGGACGAAAGCCGGGUGCACGACAACAAGCAAAGCCAGACACACUAUUGGGUCCUGAGGCAACACUCGGGCUCUGUUCGAGAGUUGUCCCACCAUCUUGGUGGUGGGGUGUGAUGUUUGAGAAUUGGAUAGUGGUUGCGAGCAUCAAAUGGAUGCGUUGCCCUACGGGUAGCGUGUUCUUUUGUGCAAUUUUAUUCUUUGGUUUUUGUGU